This 253-nucleotide ribosomal RNA is filed under the name uncultured bacterium. Its description in RNAcentral is "partial 16S ribosomal RNA". It matches the Rfam family "Bacterial small subunit ribosomal RNA", at positions 524 to 776 of the family's 1533-position model. The record is from RNAcentral.
UACAGAGGGGGCAAGCGUUGUCCGGAAUUACUGGGCGUAAAGGGCGCGUAGGCGGCUUUCUAAGUCGAACGUGAAAUCCCCGGGCUCAACCCGGGAACUGCGUCCGAUACUGGAAGGCUUGAAUCCGGGAGAGGGAUGUGGAAUUCCAGGUGUAGCGGUGAAAUGCGUAGAUAUCAGGAGGAACACCGGUGGCGAAGGCGGAUCUCUGGGCCUUACCUGACGCUGAGGCGCGAAAGCUAGGGGAGCGAACAGG